Molecule: ribosomal RNA, 774 nt
Filed under: uncultured Neocallimastigales
Lineage: Eukaryota; Fungi; Neocallimastigomycota; Neocallimastigomycetes; Neocallimastigales
Description: partial large subunit ribosomal RNA
Rfam family: Eukaryotic large subunit ribosomal RNA
Source: RNAcentral
UAUGUGAUCGUCUCUCGCAUAUCAAUAAGCGGAGGAAAAGAAACUAACAAGGAUUCCCCUAGUAACGGCGAGUGAAGCGGGAAGAGCUCAAAUUUGAAAUCUUAAAGGGUUUCCCUUUACGAAUUGUAGUUUAAAGAAGUGUUUUCUGUUGAGGUUUUGGUAAAAGUUCUUUGGAAUAGGACAUCAUAGAGGGUGAGAAUCCCGUAUUUGACCUUUACUUUCAACUUUGUGAUACACUUUCAAAGAGUCGGAUUGUUUGGGAAUGCAGUCCAAAAUGGGUGGUAAAUUUCAUCUAAAGCUAAAUAUUGGCGAGAGACCGAUAGCGAACAAGUACCGUGAGGGAAAGAUGAAAAGAACUUUGAAAAGAGAGUUAAUCAGUACGUGAAAUUGUCAAAAGGGAAGCGUUUGACACCAGUGUUGUUUUUCUGAAAAUCAAUUAAAGAACUGUUUAUGCUAAGCUGUUUAGACUUUAUCAGCUAACUGUUUAGUUUUGAGCUUUUCUUUAAUGCACUUUUCAGUUAACAAGUCAACAUCAAUUUCUUCUGCUGUAAAAAAGCUUGAGGAAGGUGGCUUGAGAUUCGUCUUAAGUGUUUAUAGCCUCUUGCCUAUGCAGUCGGAGAGAUUGAGGUCUGCAGCGUAGAUCCUUCGGGGCUAAAUGCAUUUGUGCUAAGUUAUAGCAUUUUAUAGACAACUUGUUGACUAUGAUUUGUCUUGUAGCUUACUCGCUUAUGUUAUUUUACCUACGCUUAGGAUGUUGAGUAGCGACAUACGCAC